CCUACGGGUGGCAGCAGUGGGGAAUAUUGCUCAAUGGGGGAAACCCUGAAGCAGCGACGCCGCGUGAGGGAAGAAGGUUUUCGGAUUGUAAACCCCUGUCUUUGGGGAAGAAAAUGACGGUACCCAACGAAGAAGCACCGGCUAACUACGUGCCAGCAGCCGCGGUAAUACGGAGGGAGCGAGCGUUACCCGGAAUUACUGGGCGUAAAGGGCGCGUAGGCGGGACAGCAAGUCUGAUGUGAAAUCCUAUGGCUUAACCAUGGAACUGCGUUUGAAACUUUUUUUCUAGAGUGAGGUAGAGGUAGGCGGAAUUCCUGGUGUAGCGGUGAAAUGCGUAGAUAUCAGGAGGAAUACUGAUGGCGAAGGCGGCCUGCUGGACUAUAACUGACGCUGAGGCGCGAAAGCGUGGGGAGCAAACAGGAUUAGAUACCCGAGUAGUC
This 440-nucleotide ribosomal RNA is filed under the name uncultured bacterium. Its description in RNAcentral is "partial 16S ribosomal RNA". It matches the Rfam family "Bacterial small subunit ribosomal RNA", at positions 338 to 795 of the family's 1533-position model. The record is from RNAcentral.